AACGAACGCUGGCGGCAGGCCUAACACAUGCAAGUCGAGCGCCCCGCAAGGGGAGCGGCGGACGGGUGAGUAACACGUGGGAAUUUUCCUCAAGGUACGGAACAACUCAGGGAAACUUGGGCUAAUACCGUAUGAUGCAGAGAUGCCAAAGAUUUAUCGCCUUGGGAUAAGCCCGCGUCAGAUUAGGUAGUUGGUGGGGUAAUGGCCUACCAAGCCUGUGAUCUGUAGCUGGUCUGAGAGGACGAUCAGCCACAUUGGGACUGAGACACGGCCCAAACUCCUACGGGAGGCAGCAGUGGGGAAUCUUGCGCAAUGGACGAAAGUCUGACGCAGCCAUGCCGCGUGAAUGAUGAAGGUCUUAGGAUUGUAAAGUUCUUUAGCCUGUGACGAUGAUGACGGUAACAGGAGAAUAAGCCCCGGCUAACUUCGUGCCAGCCGCCGCAGUAA
RNAcentral lists this ribosomal RNA (447 nucleotides) under uncultured bacterium. RNAcentral's name for it is "partial 16S ribosomal RNA". It matches the Rfam family "Bacterial small subunit ribosomal RNA", at positions 29 to 523 of the family's 1533-position model. The record is from RNAcentral.